RNAcentral lists this ribosomal RNA (1346 nucleotides) under uncultured bacterium. Its description in RNAcentral is "partial 16S ribosomal RNA". It matches the Rfam family "Bacterial small subunit ribosomal RNA", at positions 28 to 1381 of the family's 1533-position model. The record is from RNAcentral.
GACGAACGCUGGCGGCGUGCUUAACACAUGCAAGUCGAACGGAAAGGCCCUGCUUUUGUGGGGUGCUCGAGUGGCGAACGGGUGAGUAACACGUGAGUAACCUGCCCUUGACUUUGGGAUAACUUCAGGAAACUGGGGCUAAUACCGGAUAGGAGCUCCUGCUGCAUGGUGGGGGUUGGAAAGUUUCGGCGGUUGGGGAUGGACUCGCGGCUUAUCAGCUUGUUGGUGGGGUAGUGGCUUACCAAGGCUUUGACGGGUAGCCGGCCUGAGAGGGUGACCGGCCACAUUGGGACUGAGAUACGGCCCAGACUCCUACGGGAGGCAGCAGUGGGGAAUAUUGCACAAUGGGCGGAAGCCUGAUGCAGCAACGCCGCGUGCGGGAUGACGGCCUUCGGGUUGUAAACCGCUUUCGCCUGUGACGAAGCGUGAGUGACGGUAAUGGGUAAAGAAGCACCGGCUAACUACGUGCCAGCAGCCGCGGUGAUACGUAGGGUGCGAGCGUUGUCCGGAUUUAUUGGGCGUAAAGGGCUCGUAGGUGGUUGAUCGCGUCGGAAGUGUAAUCUUGGGGCUUAACCCUGAGCGUGCUUUCGAUACGGGUUGACUUGAGGAAGGUAGGGGGGAAUGGAAUUCCUGGUGGAGCGGUGGAAUGCGCAGAUAUCAGGAGGAACACCAGUGGCGAAGGCGGUUCUCUGGGCCUUUCCUGACGCUGAGGAGCGAAAGCGUGGGGAGCGAACAGGCUUAGAUACCCUGGUAGUCCACGCUGUAAACGGUGGGUACUAGGUGUGGGGUCCAUUCCACGGGUUCCGUGCCGUAGCUAACGCUUUAAGUACCCCGCCUGGGGAGUACGGCCGCAAGGCUAAAACUCAAAGGAAUUGACGGGGCCCCGCACAAGCGGCGGAGCAUGCGGAUUAAUUCGAUGCAACGCGUAGAACCUUACCUGGGUUUGACAUGGAUCGGGAGUGCUCAGAGAUGGGUGUGCCUCUUUUGGGGUCGGUUCACAGGUGGUGCAUGGCUGUCGUCAGCUCGUGUCGUGAGAUGUUGGGUUAAGUCCCGCAACGAGCGCAACCCUUGUUCACUGUUGCCAGCACGUUAUGGUGGGGACUCAGUGGAGACCGCCGGGGUCAACUCGGAGGAAGGUGGGGAUGACGUCAAGUCAUCAUGCCCCUUAUGUCCAGGGCUUCACGCAUGCUACAAUGGCUGGUACAGAGAGUGGCGAGCCUGUGAGGGUGAGCGAAUCUCGGAAAGCCGGUCUCAGUUCGGAUUGGGGUCUGCAACUCGACCUCAUGAAGUCGGAGUCGCUAGUAAUCGCAGAUCAGCAACGCUGCGGUGAGUACGUUCCCGGGGCU